Panthera uncia (snow leopard) is the source of this 796-nucleotide long non-coding RNA. RefSeq lists it as uncharacterized. NCBI's taxonomy places the organism in Eukaryota, Metazoa, Chordata, Mammalia, Carnivora, Felidae. The record is from RefSeq and is a predicted model, not a curated record. The transcript is spliced from 3 exons.
UUCUUGAUAUCACUUUCCAGUCCCUCCACAUUGCACUUUGAAAAAGCAGUUCUCUCAAGAGAUAUAAUGAAGGAUAUUGGAAUGGCAUGCCCUGGGAAGCUGCUCUUGGCCCGGUCUUCGGAAGCACUCAUGUGCAGAGUUAUUCCUUUAGGAAAGUUACAUAUCAGCAGAGGUCAUCAGCCAGAUAAAAUCCAAGGCAUAACCAGGCACUUGAAGCAGAGAGCAGAGAAAUGGUGAAGGUCAAGUGACUAUUUACUGAUGAUGUUGGAAACGUCUUUGACAGUUGCUGCUUCUCAAGCUGAAGGCAGGAGUCAUGUUGAUACAAAACACUAUUACAACUCUUCUUGAAAAGAAGAAAAAGAUUUUCACAAAUGCUUCCCUCCUCGUUUAUUGUCACUACCGUUUUUCCCCAGACUACUCUCAUUCUCGGCCCACGUAGGAAAUCAGAAGAUAAUUUAAAAUUAAAUGAUGAUGGCUCAGAGCUUCAAGCACUUAAAAAGAGAGAGGAAAGAAACGCAUCACAUCUUGACAGGGCUGCGAGUGAGGGCUGGAAGACUGCCAAGGAAGCCCAGAAGCGCCAUUGGCAAGAGGGGCUUUGGUACUUUGUGUGACCAGAGGGGACCUGUGCGACAUUCUCCCUCAUGCCCUGGGAUGGGCAUUUGAAGUCAUGAAAACCUAGGGAAGAGUUGAGAAAGAAUGGAAAGCAGGUGUACACAGAGCAUUAGUGAGUUGGGAAAAUCAGGUUGAACGCUUGAUUUACUAGUUACCGUCUUGUAAUAUAAACUUUCUAGGCAUU